GCGCGGGUGGUGGAACUGGUAGACACGCACGUUUGAGGGGCGUGUGCUUAACGGCUUGCGGGUUCGAGUCCCGCCCCGCGCA
This 82-nucleotide transfer RNA is filed under the name Elusimicrobiales bacterium. RNAcentral describes it as "tRNA-Leu". It matches the Rfam family "tRNA". Rfam says of the family: Transfer RNA (tRNA) molecules are approximately 80 nucleotides in length. Lineage: Bacteria; Pseudomonadati; Elusimicrobiota; Elusimicrobia; Elusimicrobiales. The record is from RNAcentral.